This 313-nucleotide long non-coding RNA is filed under the name Ganoderma lucidum. Its description in RNAcentral is "long non-coding RNA (GLUC_LNC000001)". The record is from RNAcentral. Lineage: Eukaryota; Fungi; Basidiomycota; Agaricomycetes; Polyporales; Polyporaceae.
CAACUUUGCACAGCAGUCAAGCGAUCACGACAGUGUCCUCCGAGGACCAUCAGAUACACCCGGAUGUGGUGCGUUUGUUAAGCUAUCUGUUCUUGGACCCUGAGACCCUGAAAAACUCUAUUAAAGGGACCAUUGAUAAGUUCCCAACAAGGAUCAGCUGCUAGGGGGAUCGAAGCACGACGAGCUGAGACUCAUUGUUCAACCGUUCAAUGGUGGAUAUCCCGUCUGGAACCGUCAUCUCAGCCUCGGCGUCCAUCCACUGGCGCACUGCCGGACCACAAGCUUCGCUUCGACGCCGGCACGCAGUGCAAUC